GGAGGAUUAUUUGUUUCAGUAAAAUACCUUAGUUCAUACUCUUAGGUAUUGUUUGGUUCGGGGAUAAGAAAAAAAUGACUAUUCCAGAAAUAGGUAUAAAUUGAGGUAUAAGCGGGAAUUAGAUCAAUUUUGCGUUUGGAUGAAAAUUGGGUUAUUCCCGCGAACAAAAAAAAUGUUUAGGGUUAAAUAAAAACUAGUUAUUUCAAGGAUAGUGUUAAGUUCAGAAUUAAGGUAGGGUUAGAGUGAUUUUUUGUUUGGUUGAAAAUUGGGUUCUAAAGAUAGGGUUAAGUUCAGGAUUAAGAUGGGGUUAGAGUAAUUUUUUGUUUGGUUGAGAAUUGGGUUUAGUCCAGAUAUAAGUAAAAUAGUGUUUGGUUGAAGUAGGUGGGAUAAGAAGAAUAGUGGGUUAUUAUAAAUAAAAAAUAAUGAUUUUUCCAUAAUUUUUAUAUUUGAAUUUAAAUGUAAAAUUUAAAUAAUUAAAAAUAAUAAUUUUAAAUUUAAAAUUAAAAUCUAUAUUUUUAAAUCUCAAAUUAAAAAAUUUAAGUUACAAAUAUAAAAUAUCAAAUUUAAAAUUUAAAUAAUUAAAAAUAAUAAUUUUAAAUUUUAAAAUUUAAAAAAUAAAUAUUAAUUUUAAAAUUUAAAUAUAUAAUUUUUCUAAAUUUUAAAUUUUAAAAUUUAAUUUUAAAUUUAUAUUAAAAAAUUAAAU
Molecule: long non-coding RNA, 703 nt
Filed under: Ananas comosus (pineapple)
Lineage: Eukaryota; Viridiplantae; Streptophyta; Magnoliopsida; Poales; Bromeliaceae
Description: long non-coding RNA (ACOM_LNC006631)
Source: RNAcentral